AUGGCCAGUUCGUCGGCGAACGUCACGGUGGCGUCCAUCCUCCUGUUGGCGCUCGUGGCCGUCAUCGUGCUGGUCCAGGCCAUCCGCACCUUGUGCUCGCACUCGCAGGAUCAGGGGGAACAGAGGCCGGAAGGGACUCCGGUUGCCGGUGCCGCCCCUCAAGCCGUGCCGAAGGCGCAGGCGGCGGGGCCGGGGCUGGUGGCGUGCGUGUACCGGAGGAGCGACGAGUGGCGGGAGGCGACGUGCCCGGUGUGCCUGUCGGACUUCACGGACGGCGAGGCCGUCAGCGUGCUGCCCGCGUGCAUGCACUACUUCCACGCCGCGUGCGUCGGCGAGUGGCUGCGCGCGCACGCCACCUGCCCGCUCUGCCGCGCCGCGCCGGCAGCCGGUGUCGUCUGA
RNAcentral lists this ribosomal RNA (399 nucleotides) under Triticum aestivum (bread wheat). RNAcentral's name for it is "partial small subunit ribosomal RNA". Lineage: Eukaryota; Viridiplantae; Streptophyta; Magnoliopsida; Poales; Poaceae. The record is from RNAcentral.